UUUGUACUCCCUCCGUCCCAAAAUUCAUGUGUUAAAUUUGUCUAAAUACGGAUGUAUCUAGUUACAUUUUAGUGUUAUAUAUAUAUAUCCAUAUCUAAACAAAUGUAAGACGAGAAUUUUGGGACGGAGGGAAUACUAC
This is a non-coding RNA of Triticum aestivum (bread wheat), 139 nucleotides long. Lineage: Eukaryota; Viridiplantae; Streptophyta; Magnoliopsida; Poales; Poaceae. The record is from Rfam.